Molecule: ribosomal RNA, 433 nt
Filed under: uncultured bacterium
Lineage: Bacteria
Description: partial 16S ribosomal RNA
Rfam family: Bacterial small subunit ribosomal RNA
Source: RNAcentral
AGUGAACGCUGGCGGCAGGCCUAACACAUGCAAGUCGAACGAACUCUUCGGAGUUAGUGGCGGACGGGUGAGUAACACGUGGGAACGUGCCUUUUGGCUCGGAAUAACACAUGGAAACUUGUGCUAAUACCGAAUGAGUUCUUCGGGGGAAAGAUUUAUCGUCAUUAGAGCGGCCCGCGUCUGAUUAGCUAGUUGGUGAGGUAACGGCUCAUCAAGGCGACGAUCAGUAGCGGGUUUGAGAGGAUGACCAGCCACACUGGGACUGAGACACGGCCCAGACUCCUACGGGAGGCAGCAGUGGGGAAUCUUGCGCAAUGGGCGAAAGCCUGACGCAGCCAUGCCGCGUGAAUGAUGAAGGUCUUAGGAUUGUAAAAUUCUUUCACCGGGGACGAUAAUGACGGUACCCGGAGAAGAAGCCCCGGCUAACUUCGUG